This 497-nucleotide ribosomal RNA is filed under the name uncultured bacterium. RNAcentral's name for it is "partial 16S ribosomal RNA". It matches the Rfam family "Bacterial small subunit ribosomal RNA", at positions 28 to 507 of the family's 1533-position model. The record is from RNAcentral.
GAUGAACGCUGGCGGCGUGCCUAAUACAUGCAAGUCGAGCGAACAGACGAGGAGCUUGCUCCUCUGACGUUAGCGGCGGACGGGUGAGUAACACGUGGAUAACCUACCUAUAAGACUGGGAUAACUUCGGGAAACCGGAGCUAAUACCGGAUAAUAUAUUGAACCGCAUGGUUCAAUAGUGAAAGACGGUUUUGCUGUCACUUAUAGAUGGAUCCGCGCCGCAUUAGCUAGUUGGUAAGGUAACGGCUUACCAAGGCGACGAUGCGUAGCCGACCUGAGAGGGUGAUCGGCCACACGGGAACUGAGACACGGUCCAGACUCCUACGGGAGGCAGCAGUAGGGAAUCUUCCGCAAUGGGCGAAAGCAUGACGGAGCAACGCCGCGUGAGUGAUGAAGGUCUUCGGAUCGUAAAACUCUGUUAUUAGGGAAGAACAAAUGUGUAAGUAACUAUGCACGUCUUGACGGUACCUAAUCAGAAAGCCACGGCUAACUACGUG